RNAcentral lists this long non-coding RNA (622 nucleotides) under Ursus maritimus (polar bear). Its description in RNAcentral is "lncRNA (ENSUMAG00000024439.1)". Lineage: Eukaryota; Metazoa; Chordata; Mammalia; Carnivora; Ursidae. The record is from RNAcentral.
CCACGUCUGAAAAAUUGUGCUUCCUUCCCAUGCAAGGACAGAAGAAAGCACCAAGGCUUGGUUACCAAGUGAUGGGUAUUCAGCAAAUCCCAAACACGUCUUGGGAUGACAACACGAACGGCCUGAAGCAGGACAAGAGUGUGCCUGCAUGUCCUUGGCUUGGCUCUCCCUCCUCCACGGCUGGCAUUGUGUCUGUGCUAUUGUCCGCUUCACUAAAACGGAAUUAAGGGAGCUGAGGUAAGCCAUUGACCAGAGUGUUUCCUCAGCUCCUGAGGAAUGUUUACUGAGGUGUGGUGUUUUUCAAAGCCUUUAAUAAGAAGUACGCCAUGUCCUCCGUACCUUUAUUUUUCUAAAUGUGUGGGGAGGACACACUGUUUUCGCUCCUUUGCCAGCAUUCCAAAACAUUCUUGUCGCCGUGAAUUCCAUGGCACCCUGUGAGGGUGGACAGCAGGGUGAGAGCUUUGUACUGCAGUAAUAUAUUCAGGUUUUCCAAAGUAAAGAAACCGGACUCUGUAGAGACAUCCUAAACUAAGGUCCCUCAAAGGUGUAAAAUGGAAAUCUUUUUGAAAAAGGCAAUGUGUGUGGGAAUAAAAUUAGAAUUCACCUUUGCCUUUGGGAUUAU